CAGCAGCCACGGGAAUACAGAGGGUGCGAGCGUUAAUCGGAUUUACUGGGCGUAAAGAGUGCGUAGGCGGCUUCUUAAGUCGGAUGUGAAAUCCCUGAGCUUAACUUAGGAAUUGCAUUCGAUACUGGGAAGCUAGAGUAUGGGAGAGGAUGGUAGAAUUCCAGGUGUAGCGGUGAAAUGCGUAGAGAUCUGGAGGAAUACCGAUGGCGAAGGCAGCCAUCUGGCCUAAUACUGACGCUGAGGUACGAAAGCAUGGGGAGCAAACAGGAUUAGAUACCCCGGUAGUCCCUGUCUCUUAUAC
This 301-nucleotide ribosomal RNA is filed under the name uncultured bacterium. RNAcentral's name for it is "partial 16S ribosomal RNA". It matches the Rfam family "Bacterial small subunit ribosomal RNA", at positions 509 to 807 of the family's 1533-position model. The record is from RNAcentral.